This 264-nucleotide long non-coding RNA is filed under the name Gallus gallus (chicken). Lineage: Eukaryota; Metazoa; Chordata; Aves; Galliformes; Phasianidae. The record is from RNAcentral.
CUCCUAUUGGGACCCCAAGCGCUGUCCCAAAGCCACAUCCUGGGCAUGGCUUGAUGGGUGCCCCAAAUCCCAUCCCAAUGAGAUCCUGUUCCAAUUGGCUCCCAUAUCCCAUCCCAAGGAGUCCCUAAAUCCCAUUGCGAUGAGCUCCCAAAUCCCAACCCUAUGGGCUUCAAAAUCCCAACCCUAUGGGAUCCCAAAUCCCAACCCUAUGGGCUCCCAAAUCCCAACCCUAUGGGCUCCCAAAUCCCAUCCAAAUGGGCUCCC